This is a small nucleolar RNA of Arabis alpina (gray rockcress), 107 nucleotides long. It matches the Rfam family "Plant small nucleolar RNA R71". From Rfam's summary of the family: R71 is a member of the C/D box family of snoRNAs containing the C (UGAUGA) and D (CUGA) box motifs. Multiple nearly identical copies of this snoRNA have been identified in Arabidopsis, and it is thought to function as a 2'-O-ribose methylation guide for 18S ribosomal RNA. The record is from Rfam. Lineage: Eukaryota; Viridiplantae; Streptophyta; Magnoliopsida; Brassicales; Brassicaceae.
ACCCCAUGAUGAGGACAAGCUCUUGUGUAGCUUUUCAUACGCUCCCACACAUCAUACAAACUCUCUUCUUUAUCUUGCUCGAAUCUAGCUAUAUCGUUCCUUAUCUU